Molecule: long non-coding RNA, 677 nt
Organism: Aedes albopictus (Asian tiger mosquito)
Lineage: Eukaryota; Metazoa; Arthropoda; Insecta; Diptera; Culicidae
Exons: 2
Source: RefSeq, a predicted model, not a curated record
AUUGUAAUCAUGCUGAUUUAAAACUAAAAUUGACACAAUAACUAUAUGAUUUUUUGCUUGGAGAUUGUUGUGAAUGAUAAUCGUCACAAAAUCAUCGGAAAGCAUUUACUGCCGUGCCUCAUACCGAAAAUCAUUCCAUCACCAAACGAAAAUCCCCGCAGCCAAACGAAUGAACCUUCAUUCAGCCAUGUGAUCAAUCGCUGAUCCCUGAAACUGAAUGACAAUCUUGAUCGAAUGAUUUUCAAAACAAUAAUGAUGGAAUUUUGUUUAUCUUUGGUAUGAUAUGAGAUUUGAAGCAAGCUGAAUAUAUUUCAUGUUAUCCCCAUUCCGAUUAUCAUUCUAUUUUUGAUUUACCUUUCAUUUAGCUGUUGGUGCGCUAUUUGAAUUCGCAAAAAAUGGUGCCGAUCGGAGUAUUUCUUUUACUUUGAAGGGAAAAAAGACUCGCGGAGGAAAUAUUAAGUGUUUAACCAGCCAAAUAUGUACUCGUAGGCCACAAGAAUGAAUCGCCUGAUGUUUAUUCUACGACGGUUCGAGAAUCUCAGUACGAAGCCGUUUUAAGCCGCAUCGGUUUGUGCAGGAAGGAGGAUUAUGGCGUGAAAAUGGCAGCGGUGAUGCGGCAAUUUGAUUUGUGAAAUAUCGUGGUGAAAUUAUAGUAUUUCAUUAUUGAACUUUAACCA